CAAUAGCGUAUAUUAACGUUGUUGCAGUUAAAAAGCUCGUAGUUGGAUUUCUAGAGGGAGCGUCGGCCCGUAUUUACGAGUGCGUGACGUCUCUGUCCAUCCUUGCGGGAAGGCACGGCAUUGAUUUGUUGUGUCGGAUCGCAUCAUUUACUGUGAAAAAAUUAGAGUGUUCAAAGCAGGCUUUCGCUUGAAUACAUUAGCAUGGAAUAAUAAGAUAGGACUUUGGUGCUAUUUUGUUGGUUGAGCCUAAAGUAAUGAUUAAUAGGGAUAGUUGGGGGCACCUGUAUUGCGUUGUCAGAGGUGAAAUUCUUGGAUUUACGCAAGACAAACAGCUGCGAAAGCGUCUGCCAAGGAUGUUUUCAUUAA
Molecule: ribosomal RNA, 366 nt
Filed under: uncultured eukaryote
Lineage: Eukaryota
Description: partial 18S ribosomal RNA
Rfam family: Eukaryotic small subunit ribosomal RNA
Source: RNAcentral